CGACUGUUUAAUUAAAACAAAGCAUCGCGAAGGCCCGCGGCGGGGGUUGACGCGAUGUGAUUUGUGCCCAGUGCUCUGAAUGUCAAAGUGAAGAAAUUCAAUGAAGCGCGGGUAAACGGCGGGAGUAACUAUGACUCUCUUAAGACGGGACCAUAGUUACUG
Molecule: non-coding RNA, 162 nt
Filed under: Opisthocomus hoazin
Lineage: Eukaryota; Metazoa; Chordata; Aves; Opisthocomiformes; Opisthocomidae
Description: Eukaryotic large subunit ribosomal RNA
Rfam family: Eukaryotic large subunit ribosomal RNA
Source: Rfam by way of RNAcentral